GUCAUCGUAGCGCUUAUUGCGCGGCGAUGACCUUACAUGAUUGUCUUUUUGAUCAUUUUCUUGCUGAAAGCUGAGACAAACACCCUGGGGGAUCACUUGGACAUUUAUUUUUUAAUUAUUUUUACAAUUGGUAAAAUUUUGGAUUAAUCUUCAGAAUUUUCAACUUCUGAACUCUCGAGGCUCCCGUCCUGGAAUAACGCAACGAAGGGCAAUAAAUAGAAAUAGUUUUGGAUUUUUGUGAAGCAUCUAAUCUUUAAUCGUACAUUGUGCCCUCGGGUUUGUUUUUUCUGUGCCUGUUUGAACGUUAUUUCUCUCUCUUCCCUCCGGUUUGGUAUUUACGAAUACGCUUAUGCGGACUACUCUGUUGCUUGAAAAGUAUUGGCAUGGACUUAACUAGAUAGUGCUGUCGACCUCUCAAUGUAAUAGGUUUAUCCAACUUCUUGAAUGGUGUGGCGGGAUAUUUCUGGUAUUGUUGGCCCGGACUUACAACAACCAAACAAGUUUGACCUCAAAUCACCUAGGAAUACCCGCUGAACUUAACCAUAUCAAUAAGCGGAGGA
Molecule: ribosomal RNA, 560 nt
Filed under: Meyerozyma guilliermondii
Lineage: Eukaryota; Fungi; Ascomycota; Pichiomycetes; Serinales; Debaryomycetaceae
Description: eukaryotic LSU rRNA
Source: RNAcentral